AGAUGUGAGGGCGAUCUGGCUGCGACAUCUGUCACCCCAUUGAUCGCCAGGGUUGAUUCAGCUGAUCUGGCUGGCUAGGCGGGUGUCCCCUUCCUCCCUCACCGCUCCAUGUGCGUCCCUCCCGAAGCUGCGCGCUCAGUCGAAGAGGACGACCAUGCCCGAUAGAGGAGGACCGGUCUUUGGUCAAGGGUAUACGAGUAGCUGCGCUCCCCUGCUAGAACCUCCAAACAAUCUCUCAAAAGGAGAAACAUAUGGUUGGUUUUGCAUGGGGGAAUACUAUAUAAUAGGGAGAGGAAAAAGAUUGAAAGUGUGAGUACUGAAAUU
RNAcentral lists this small nuclear RNA (324 nucleotides) under Aotus nancymaae (Ma's night monkey). RNAcentral's name for it is "7SK RNA (ENSANAG00000005256.1)". The stretch from base 1 to 286 matches the Rfam family "7SK RNA". Rfam says of the family: 7SK was discovered as an abundant small nuclear RNA in the mid-70s but a possible function has only recently been suggested. Two independent studies have found that 7SK RNA binds the CDK9/cyclin T complex (known as elongation factor P-TEFb). Lineage: Eukaryota; Metazoa; Chordata; Mammalia; Primates; Aotidae. The record is from RNAcentral.